This is a long non-coding RNA of Bos taurus (domestic cattle), 485 nucleotides long. The record is from Ensembl. Lineage: Eukaryota; Metazoa; Chordata; Mammalia; Artiodactyla; Bovidae.
GACGACUUGUUGGCCCAGUGAGUCGGGUUUGCGCCCACCCGCGGCUCUUGCCUGAGAGAAGGCUGACUGUUUUUUACCCAGUGUGGUGAGAAUAGAAGAUUUGCGUUCGGAGAGUGUCUAAACCUCUUAGGAGCUCACCUCCAAACGCGGGGUGGGGUUAAGGGCACUGCACGCUGCAGGAAGGCGAGUGCGGGGGGCCAAGUGGGACGCGCGAGAUUUGCCGAGCCACCGGGCAGCAGAAAGAGGCGGCCAGCCGACGCCUGCCCUUCGGCCGAAUGACCCACCGCUGCCGCGCCGCCACCUCUGCACCUGCCUGGCUGAGGAAAGGAAAAGACUUUCGGGGGUUUAGAAGAAGACAAGUCUUCCGGCUUGCCCUUGGGGCCCGCCCCAAAGAGCGAAGGAAGCCCAGUGGGUACGUGGCGGGCGCCCUAUGCGUCUUGCAGGGAAAGUAGGCUGCAGACACGCGAGAGAAAAAACAACUACAC